Long non-coding RNA from Ficedula albicollis (Collared flycatcher), 3688 nucleotides. The record is from Ensembl. Lineage: Eukaryota; Metazoa; Chordata; Aves; Passeriformes; Muscicapidae.
CCCCACCAUAAAAGAAAGAACACAUCUAAAGGCUUUUCACAUAACCUUCUGGAAUUAUUAUUCAUCCUCAUUUCAUCCAUUCAUCCAUGUGGACUUCUUUCAAAAAAGAGUAGCCUUGCUGAAAAAAUGUCUCUCUGCCUUGUCCCUCUUCUGCCUCACAAUGCCCCUGACUCUGCUGCCUGGCUCCCCAAGCAAAGGCAAGGAAUGUUCAGGUGGUUGUGACAUCCCAGGCAAAAACAGCAGCUUGACUUUGAUGCACCCAUGGCAGCCAACAAAAGCUUUUCCACCGAGAGGGUUCAGGCUUCCAUCCUUUCUCAAACAACAAUCUCUUCACAGCCUUGUGCAUUAUCUUCCCUUCUGAAAAGACUUUUGUGCACGGGGAUGACUCCUGCUGCUCCUGAGAGAUCCUCAUGUCCUGUGACGUGGCAUUGUUGGGCCCUAACAGCACAGAAGAGCUGCAGAUGUGAGCCAGUACCUGCAGCCCUCAGGUGCUCAUCACACAGAGGGGGAGCAGCUCCUACAGGUACUGCAGACUGCCAGCUCAAAACCUGUAGCUCAGAGUCCUCUGCAGAAAACAAAAUACCAGUAAGAACCCAUUUUUUUUUUAACCACACAAAUCCAGAAAAGUAGCAUACAAAGAGAUGUGACCUCCUAAAAUUGGGCAUUGCCCCAUUCUGCCCCAUCACCUCUGAAACAAAUGGGAAAUUUUUUAUGCAAAUAAAAUCAGUGGUUUCAUGCAGACACCUCAAAGCUGCCACUUACAAGCCAAGGGCCUAUUUAGGAAGAAUAUGAGGUUACAUCAUCUAUAGGCAUCAUCUCCCUGCAAUGAGGUCGAGUCAAAGCCACUGAGCAGAACAAGAGGCAAUGAGUGGAAAGGAAGAGAUAGUUUAACAGAGAUGGAAGUUUUCAUAUGAAACACCUCUCUUGUCUAGGAUUCAAUGGAUGGAAAUUCUGGUCCUUUUGCUCUGUUCUUUAAGAAAUCAUUCUCAUACCAACAGGAUUGCUUUUCCUACUGCCACAAUGGUUUUGGCAGUGUGGGUUGACAAAUACAAGCAAUAUUUCACUCAGGCCACAUCCUCCAAAUAAUACUCACGUUCUUAGGGCCAUAAAAAGGUAAUGGGACUGUGCUUGCCAGCCUCAGAUAUAAAUGUAAUGUUAACAAUGAGAGAAAUCAAAAUUACACAUUAGAAGAUGGUGCAGAGCUGGAUUCCUUCCCAGUCGUGCAGAUCUGUACAGCAAUACAACAAGGAGAUUUUUUUUGCCCAACUAACUGGACCAAGAAAGAGCCUGGUCCUCCCCAGGCUGCUAAAUGGUGGCAUCAGGGUCUUAACAGCACAGGUGGUCCCUACCAAGCCAAGUUAUAAUAAUAAGGCCCCACGUUGUGCUGCAUUCUGUGAAUCCUCAAAAGCCAGUGACCAGAGUUUGAAGUUUCCAUGCAAAUAAGACAAACAUCAAUUUACUGUCACACCGGUGCUGAGCAUUUUCAGUACAAGUGUGUUGUUUGAUACUUGCAGCUUCACCUCUAAAUUCCAAUAGAGUGCACAAGGCCUUAGCUGUUCAUGACAAGACCACAUAGCUAAGAACAAAAAUGAAUUAUGAUGAAUAUAACUGCUAGAUACACAUAUUUCAUAUAUAUAUAUAUAUAUAUAUACAUACUAGAUAUACUAGAUAUGCUACUACUAUACUAGUAGACUACUAAAUAUACAUAUAUAGUUGUAUAUAUAUACUAGAUAUACCACUAGAAAAUCAAGAAUUUGGUCAGUAUAUAUACAAGGAAAUGUUCAAAGUACUGCCUGUGUUGUGUGGUUCCCAUGAUCCUAAGGAUGACAAAACACAACAGGGAGGAGGAGCAUAACAGGAUAUUGCAUUUACCUGCAGUGCCUCAUGUGUAGUGAGAGAAGCAAACUUUGUGAUAUCCUCCACGACCCCUGAAAAUGAUCUUAGUAGUGAAACACACCCAGGUCAGAGGUGUGGGGGCUACAGAAACAAAGAAUCCACACCAAGGCAUGUCUGAAUCUGAGAAAGAAGUAGAAAUGCUUGAGAUUUCUGGCAGAUUUGUAGGACGAGCAGAGAUUUCCCCCCCCCAAAAGGUAUUCUCUUUCUGUACAGAACAGCAUGUGGAUGUCAGCAGCAUCUGAGUGUACAAAAUGAAGAAAUUCUUCCUUUUACACUUUGUUUGGAUGCUCCAUCUGCAGCAGUGGAACAGGGAAGAAAUAAAACUGCUGAAUAACAGAGUCCUUAACAUUGCAGGCACUAAUAAUAGGAUUAGAGAGAGAAUAAAAUCAUAUCCUCUUGGAUUUGGAACAUUUGGAGGAAGCCAGCUUGUGACUCACUCUUCCAACAAGUUGAGAUCAGGCAUGUCACCGUGCUGACCUUCUGAAGGAGGAUCAGCCCAGCAGCCAGCACUGCCCAGGUGGUUCCAGCCCAUCCCUCCUGGAGCAGUGUGAGCAGAGGUGAUGCUACAUCACAGGCCCUGAGGCUCUUGCAGCAUGUCAGGCACUGCCAGCAUGCGAGGGAGGGAACUGGGUACGGGGGAGAGCAGAAGAAAUGCACACAAAGUGAGACACCUGCACUGUCUGUGCUCAUGGACACACUUCUGUCAGUGGGGGGAAGCACAGACACUCAGAUUGUCUCACCACUGGGGGAAGAAGGCUUCAAACCAUGAGCAUGGACCCAGGGGUUGCAGAGAAAGGAGACCAAAAAGCUUACACCACCUGAGCCAACAGCCCAGGAAGGAAUUAUAACCUUCCCAGUGCUGAGCGGGUAUCUGCUCAGUGGACACAAAGGUUCCCAUUGCAUCAUCAUGGGUAUCAUUUAGACUAAGAGAACUUACUAAAACCAGUAGAUGCAAGAAGAUGAGAAUUGGCAAAAAAAAGGGUUAUUUCUGUAUCAAGUACGGUUUGGGUACAGAAUUUUAAGGGAACCAAACAGACAGAGCAGUGUCCAGUUUCUAAUAUAAAGAUCCUAUCAUCCCCCACCUCAGUGAGAAAACUUUUCCAUGGUUAAGUGUGUCUUGUUAAGCAGUGAAUCUAGCCAAUCACAACAGAGUGCAAAGGGAAAAAAACCAUAAUAUUGCAAGAGGGAAAAUAACAGAGUAUGAUUAUUGAAUAGAAUAAUAAACAGCAGUGUGCACAUAGGCUCAAAAUAAAAUAAACAGCAUUGUUAAACUAAUGGCAAGGUACAACAUUCUUCUUCAAAUCAUCUUUUGCUUCAGCUUACUACAGAACAGGGUCUGGAAAAAAGCAUCUUCCUUAUUUAAAAAAUACAAUACAAAACAAAACAAAACAAAACCACAAAAACAAAACAAAACAAAAAACAAAACCAACAAAAGCCCACAAAAAACACCCAAACCCUGGCUGCAGCAUUUCCAAAACUGCUGCCUCAACCUGUUGGCAAAUGCCGACUUUAGAACAGCAACUAGUGUAUGUCUUCUUUUGUUCUGAGUUCUGAGAGCCACAGUGGGUGACUAAUGAAUAUUAGGAGCAAGAUUUUAAAAGAUGCUUGGUUAUAUCAUGAGAUAUAAUUUUUUCCCCUUAGAAUGGUGCUAGUGAACAAUAAGUGAGCAUUGAGGGAGCAGCUCUUAACAGCCGUGCACAAAACAAAAGAAAGACUGUGUUCCCAUCUAUUACUAAACUAAUGAAAUAGAAUAGAAAAAGCCAUAAGGCAAAAUGAAAAAAAAUCCCUCCUG